Molecule: ribosomal RNA, 404 nt
Filed under: uncultured bacterium
Lineage: Bacteria
Description: partial 16S ribosomal RNA
Rfam family: Bacterial small subunit ribosomal RNA
Source: RNAcentral
GACGAACGCUGGCGGCGUGCCUAAUACAUGCAAGUCGAACAGUGGCGAACGGGUGAGUAACACGUGAGUAACCUGCCCUCCACUUUGGGAUAACUCCGAGAAAUCGGGGCUACUACUGUAUAGUGGGGGAUGGGCUCGCGGCAUAUCAGUUUGUUGGUUAGGUAGUGGUCCCCAAGGCGGGACGGGUAGCCGGCCUGCGAGGGCGACCGGCCACACUGGGACUGAGAAACGGCCCAGACUCCGACGGGAGGCAGCAGUGGGGAAUAUUGCACAAUGGGCGAAAGCCUGAUGCAGCGACGCCGCGUGGGGGAUGACGGCCUUCGGGUUGUAAACCUCUUUCAGCAAGGAAGCGGUACUUGCAGAAGAAGCGCCGGCUAACUACGUGCCAGCAGCCGCGGUAAUAC